Armigeres subalbatus is the source of this 1372-nucleotide long non-coding RNA. RefSeq lists it as uncharacterized. NCBI's taxonomy places the organism in Eukaryota, Metazoa, Arthropoda, Insecta, Diptera, Culicidae. The record is from RefSeq and is a predicted model, not a curated record. The transcript has 3 exons.
AGUUUUUUUUCUGAAGCUUGUGCGUCAUUGAUCGAGAAAAUACCGCGCCUAAUCCGGAAUAUACGGAAAAACUUGCAGUUUAUCAGGUUCCAAGAGUGGGAACUCCGGACCGGAGACGACUUACGACGCUUCCAAGGACUUCACAUACGAUGGACGCUGAUACGAACCCGAAUAAAAUUUGGAUCUUUGGAUUGCGCAUCGUUUUGGAUCGGCUGCUGAGUUCACGCUGUGAUUCCGUCACUUCCUGCAUCCUGUUAACCAUUGGCACCCCGGAUUCGAUUACCAAUGUGACGCCUGGUAUUCACUAUGCUGGGAGACGAAGCUGUCAUCGACGGUUUACGGUAUUUGCACAGGGCGGACAAUAGCGACAAGCAGGCUGGAUGGAGCUAUGGAAAAACCGAAAAAAAGCGCAUGAACGUAGCGGAACAAAAUAGCAGCAGAUCGAAGAUGAUGCACAAAUCAACCGCCAUGCUCCAAUGACAAGCGAUCGCGAGCAGCACAGGUCAGCACCAAGAACAAUCAACAGAAAACGUUAUCGUCGGAGUGCUCGGUAGAGGACAUUUCUUUUCGAGCAUACAGCCUUAUCAAUGUUCUGAAACUUAACCGCUAAAUGCCUCUUUUAAACGGAUGAGGUACACUCCGACUUGGCCAACAAGAACGAAUAGUUCGUCUCCAUCAUCACCGUGGGGCGAGGUUGUCUAUCGGAAGGAACACAUCCUGAUUCACAAUCGCACGCUAUGGACGAAAUACUGCAAGCUUAAGCUCAUGUUCGUAGAAGGCAAAACGAAAUUGCUCAGAAGAAGGAUCCAGAAAAUAUUGACGCAUCGAAAGCAUUGUUCCCUUUUCUGCCCGACGAUAACGGAUCCGUCCAGGAGCGUUUCGUGUUCGCUCCUGAAUUAUACCAAAGAGCAUAGCAAGGAAUCGAAAUCGCUGAAAGAGGAAAACGAAAAAGGGGAAUGAUUCACCUUCGGAGGAGGUACUGGAUGAAAAUAUUACUACCGAAUGACCAGAGUAACAAAUGGGACUAGAUCAACAAGCUGACGUUAAACCCGUUGAAGUUCAGCGAUAGGUUGAGGUUGCCGAGCGCAUCGUAUUUACGUCGAAUGGUUAUGACAACUGUGACCACAGAAACAACGGUGGCAAUGGACGUGACGGCAUGGCAAUUAUUGUAUCCAUAACCACCGCAACGCAGGAGGCCCGACUUAUCAUCAGCACAACAACUAUUCCAACAAAUGGUGGAUGGGAUUGUCGGAACCAUUACCAUCAAAACCGAGACGAGUCGAAUAUGCACAAUUUGCAUUACAUGAAUGAAGGUGACAUAUGAGAAACAAGAAUAAAGAAUAAAAUGAUGUAAAUAAAUAUAAAAUAAAGA